AGCCUCCUCAGGCCUGGGGGCGGGGAAAGGCCUUGCGCGUGCGCAGUGCAGUCUUCCCGGGAGUCCGGAGCCCGCACCCUGGGCCUGGCCUCCAGGUGAGGCCGGGCAGCCUCGCCUGGCUCUGGAAGAGGAGGCUCCCGGGGCGGGGCGGGGCGGGGCUGCAGCUCCCCGGGCGAGGCCAGGCCUGGGGGACAGGUGGGUCCGCUAGCUGCAGCAUUCAGCAAACGACAAAGGCACACCUCUCUUACCUGGAACAGGAACCAGCCGGCUUCUCCCACUGCAGGGGGCAGGCCAGCACCGUCCCACCGGCGAAGGAACAGAGGGGCCCAGGCAGGGCCCCGCCCCAGGGGCUGAUGCGAGCUUGACAGUGCCUGUGAUGCUGCAAGGACGUGCCAACACGGACCAACUCCCUAAUCAUUAAAAACAAAACCAAACCAACUUCUCAGGAAGGAGUUUGAAAACGGGGAGUAGGUGAGCCAGACGCCUGUCCUCUGUCCUGUGAGCCCCGCUGCUUCCGGGGCCUGCUGCCCUCAGCUGCCACCAGCAGGAGUGAAGGGGACCCAUGGCAGCUGGUAAUGACCUGACCCCGGAUUAGCAGCGUUCAAACUGCAUUCACACUCGUGACCCCGGAGGUAGGCAGGACCGCAGUAUUGGCCAUUUGAGGAAAGUCCAAGACCCAGGAUGGUUAGGGACUUCCCUGGUGGUCCAGCGGUUAAGAAUCCACGUGCCAGUGCAGGCGACAUGGGUUCGAGCCCUGGUCCGGGAAGACCCCACAUGCAGCAGAGCAACUAAGCCUGUGCACCAUAACAACUGAGGCUGUGCCCUAGAGCCCGCGAGCCACAACUACUGAGCCCACGUGCUGCAACUACUGAAGCCCGGGCGCCUAGAGCCCCUGCUCCGCAACAAGAGAAGCCACCACAAUGAGAAGCCCGCGCACCGCAACGAACAGCGGCCCCCGCUCACCGCAACCAGAGAAAGCCCGCGCGCAGCAACAAAGACCCAACGCAGCCAAAAAUAAAUAAAUAAAAAAUAAAUUUAUUAAAAAAAAAUCCUAUGGUUUAAAAUUUUUUUUUCUUUAAUAAGGUUUUAUAAUUUCUCCAUUAUCCAUCUUUUAUUAGCUCUAUUCCUAGGUAUUUUACUUGUUGCUAUUCUAAAUGAUAUCUUUUUAAAGUUACAUUUUCCAGUUGAGUCGAGCUGUUUACGGAAAUACAAAUGUAUUCGGUUAUUUUAUCCAGAACGCUUGUUGAAUUCUUUUAUUAAUUUGUACAUUUUGUAGAUUAUUCUGCAUUUUGUAUAGACAAUCCUAUCAUCUGCAAGUAAUGCUAGCUUUGUUUCUUUCUUUCCAAUUCCUACAUAGUUACUUGUUUUUCUUGCACUGGCGAGGAGCCCCAGUACACUAUUAGCUAUACAUGAUGACUGUAGGCAUUUUGUCUUGCUUCUGAUUUUAAAGAGAAUGAUUUCAACAUUUCAACAUCAAUUACGAUGUUUGCUGCAGGUCUUCGUAAAUGGCCUUUAUGGAUGUCUACUUCUUUUCCUAGUUUGUAAGAGUUUUGUUUUUGUUUUUUUUAAAUCACUAAUGUAAUAAAAAAUGUAUUAACACGUGCAA
Globicephala melas (long-finned pilot whale) is the source of this 1606-nucleotide long non-coding RNA. RefSeq lists it as uncharacterized. Lineage: Eukaryota; Metazoa; Chordata; Mammalia; Artiodactyla; Delphinidae. The record is from RefSeq and is a predicted model, not a curated record.